RNAcentral lists this small nuclear RNA (300 nucleotides) under Oryctolagus cuniculus (rabbit). RNAcentral describes it as "7SK RNA". It matches the Rfam family "7SK RNA". From Rfam's summary of the family: 7SK was discovered as an abundant small nuclear RNA in the mid-70s but a possible function has only recently been suggested. The record is from Rfam by way of RNAcentral. Lineage: Eukaryota; Metazoa; Chordata; Mammalia; Lagomorpha; Leporidae.
GGAUGUGAGGGCGAUCUGGCUGCAACAUCUGUCACCCCAUUGAUCACCAGGGUUGAUUCGGCUGAUCUGGCUGGCUAGGCGACUGUCCCCUUCCUCCCUCACUGCUCCAUGUGCGUCUCUCCUGAAGUUGCGCCCUUGGUCAAAGAGGACGACCUUACCCGCUAAAGGAGGACCGGUCUUCAGUCAAGGGUUUACAAGUAGCUGCACUCCCCUGCCAGAACCUCCAAACAAGCUCUCAAAGUCCUAAGUGUUGCACCAAACUCUCAUCCCAUUUCCACAUUUUAACUUCUCUGAUACUGU